This 429-nucleotide ribosomal RNA is filed under the name Bacteroidota bacterium. RNAcentral's name for it is "Bacteroidetes bacterium partial 16S ribosomal RNA". It matches the Rfam family "Bacterial small subunit ribosomal RNA", at positions 355 to 776 of the family's 1533-position model. Lineage: Bacteria; Pseudomonadati; Bacteroidota. The record is from RNAcentral.
UAGGGAAUCUUCCGCAAUGGACGCAAGUCUGACGGAGCAACGCCGCGUGAGUGAAGAAGGAUUUCGGUUCGUAAAACUCUGUUGUUAGAGAAGAACAGCGCAUAGAGUAACUGUUAUGCGUGUGACGGUAUCUAACCAGAAAGCCACGGCUAACUACGUGCCAGCAGCCGCGGUAAUACGUAGGUGGCAAGCGUUGUCCGGAUUUAUUGGGCGUAAAGCGAGCGCAGGCGGUCAAUUAAGUCUGAUGUGAAAGCCCCCGGCUCAACCGGGGAGGGUCAUUGGAAACGGGUUGGCUUGAGUGCAGAAGAGGAGAGUGGAAUUCCAUGUGUAGGGGUGAAAUGCGUAGAUAUAUGGGGGAACACCAGUGGCGAAGGCGACUUUCUGGUCUGUAACUGACGCUGAGGCUCGAAAGCGUGGGUAGCAAACAGG